This 643-nucleotide long non-coding RNA is filed under the name Lepisosteus oculatus (spotted gar). Its description in RNAcentral is "lncRNA (ENSLOCG00000022397.1)". The record is from RNAcentral. Lineage: Eukaryota; Metazoa; Chordata; Actinopteri; Semionotiformes; Lepisosteidae.
UUUAGAACGGAAAACAAUAAGAAACACUUGUCGACAGAUCUAUCAAAAUUAAAUAUACUCUUACCAAAUAAUCUUAACUAUACACAUUCUUCUAUUGUCCCAGAGUUUAUCCUUUGGAUUCUAUUUCUUUAAAACAUGUUCGCCAAAUGCAGAUGCCCCACAGUUUUGCCAUAAAGUGAACUGAUGCAGUAACUGCCUGUAUCCUGUGGAAUUAAAGACUUGUUCCUAGGCCUUAAAGAAGAUCGCCAUUCAACUCUUCCACAUCUCUCUCCCGGAGCUUCCAAAUGAUGACAGACUGACAAAUGUGAAUAUUCUUCCGAUUUUCAGGUUACCAUCAGCAAGAACACCGGCACUUUUCUUCGUCUCAAAAAAAGCCUGCACUGAAAAAGCCUGGACUGAAAAAGCAUGCUCAUAGAAACAAUGGAAUAAUUAUUUUAGAAAGGAACAAUGCCUACUUGUACAGCAUCAUAAAACAUUCAUAGACUGUGCAUGAUAGACAGAACCUCAAACAAAUGCUGUAUUUAAUAUUUUCUGAAGAUAAUUUUCAAGAUGCCUUUCAUAUACAGUACUGUAUGUGAAUGUGUUUUGUUUCUGUGUAACCUGCUGUAUUUUAAAAUUAGUAAACUAUUCUGAGAUUUGUAAG